RNAcentral lists this ribosomal RNA (382 nucleotides) under uncultured bacterium. Its description in RNAcentral is "bacterial SSU rRNA". It matches the Rfam family "Bacterial small subunit ribosomal RNA", at positions 30 to 409 of the family's 1533-position model. The record is from RNAcentral.
AUUGAACGCUGGCGGCGUGCUUAACACAUGCAAGUCGUGCGGUAACAGGCGUAGCAAUACGUGCUGACGAGCGGCGAACGGGUGCGUAAUACAUGGGAAUCUGCCUUUUAGUGGGGAAUAACCCGGCGAAAGCCGGGCUAAUGCCGCAUAAGAUCUUCGGAUGAAAGCGGGGGAUCGUAAGACCUCGCGCUGAUAGAUGAGCCCAUGCCGGAUUAGCUAGUUGGUGAGGUAACGGCUCACCAAGGCGACGAUCCGUAGCUGGUCUGAGAGGACGGCCAGCCACACUGGGACUGAGACACGGCCCAGACUCCUACGGGAGGCAGCGAGUGGGGAAUAUUGGACAAUGGGCGAAAGCCUGAUCCAGCCAUGCCGCGUGGGUGAA